CUUCCAGCGCGAACCGGUUGGGGCAUUUUAUUUUCACUUCGUCAUAAAAGUUUAUUUUAUAAUUUUGUUGUAAAUACAAUUGAUGGUUCAGAUUUACAAUAGCCUUUCUGCUCACUAAGUUGUUAGUACAAGCUGUUGAUGGUCCGUUUUUGAAUUUUGUUUUAAAUUGUACUGCGUCAUCAUGCAUGUCUGCACUCGGCCGACUCAGUUGUCGACUUGUCGAUUGAAUAAAGGGAUGUUGAUGAUUUAGUAUUUACUAUAUAUAAAUAUGUUUGGUUCAUCUACACCGUUUGGAUCUUCUACAUUUGGUUCAAGUACAAGUAAGUAUUUGUUCCUUAUGUUCAAUUUUAAAAAUCCAUGUGCAUAUACAUGUAUAAAAAUGGUGACUUCUCUACUGAUAUUAAAAUUAUGAUUGAUUCUAAAGGGCUGUUUACAUGAGCCCAGUUUGCUG
Paramuricea clavata is the source of this 451-nucleotide non-coding RNA. Lineage: Eukaryota; Metazoa; Cnidaria; Anthozoa; Malacalcyonacea; Plexauridae. The record is from the annotation of a GenBank genome assembly.